CCUCAAGUUAAGUGACGGGAUUCCCAAAACUUAACUUGCUCAAAACUUCUUGAAAGUUCUUUGCCGAUACGGCCUUGGUCAAGAUAUCAGCUAGUUGAUCUUCGGAUUUCACAUAUGGGAUUUCCACUAUCUUUUCUUCAAGAGUAGCUUGCAAGUCUUCUGUGAUUCAAGGUUUAAUUCCUUCAUUACCCUUCUAAGCCAAAGGAUUUCGGUGAGCCCACUUUUAAUGCCUCGGAAUUCAGCUUCUGCACUCGACAGAGCCACCACUUUCUGCUUCUUGCUUCUCCAAGUGACCAAAUUGCCACCCACAAAAGUGAAGUACCUUCCUGUCGAUUGUCUAUCAAUCGGCAAUCUGCAUCAGUGUAUCCAUGAAUGUCGAGAUGUCCAUUUUUUUGGAAUAGUAUUCCAUGUCCGGCGGUUCCCUUCAGAUAUCGCACUACCCUGAGUGCUGCCUCCCAAUGUUCUUCUUGUGGAUUAUGCAUAAACUGACUAAGCACCCCAACUGCAUAUGCAAUAUCAGGCCGAGUGUGAGAUAGAUAAAUGAGUUUUCCCACUAGUCUCUGGUAUCUCCCCCGAUCAGUUGACGCUGCUCCUUUGAUUAUUUGAAGUCCGUGAUUCUGCAGGCUUGCACUCGAGCAUUCCUAUUUCCGUCAAGAGGUCGAGAACGUACUUGCGUUGACUAAUGAAGAUUCCUUUUCCAGAUCUAAGCACCUCGAUCCCAAGAAAGUAUUUGAGGUCUCCUAGAUUCUUCAUCUCGAACUCCGUAGCCAAUUGCCCCUUUAGGUCGUUUAUUUUCUCAGUAUCAUCCCCUGUAAUGAUCAUAUCAUCCACGUAAAUUAUCAGACAAGUGAUCUUUUCUCCUCUUCGUUUGAUGAACAGUGUGUGAUCAGAGUUACUCUGCUGAUAGCCGUAUCAUUUCAUCACAUCCGUGAAUCUCCCGAACCAAGCUCUCGGGGACUGCUUCAACCCAUAUAGAGUCUUCUUUAACUUGCACACCUUAUUCUGUCCAAAUUCCUCUUUGAAGCCUGGUGGGGCCUCCAUAUAGAUAGGAUCCUUCAAUUCUCCAUGAAGGAAGGCAUUGGUGACGUCAUACUGAUGAAGUGGCCAAUCCCUGUUUGCUGCAACGGACAGUAAUACUCUUAUCGUGUUCAUUUUUGCGAUUGGGGAGAACGUCUCUGAAUAAUCUACUCCCUGAGUUUGCGUAUAUCCUUUCGCCACUAACCGAGCCUUGUAUCGCUCAAAACUCCCAUUUGGUCUCCGUUUAAUUGUGAAGACCCACCUACACCCCACUGUAUGUUUCCCAUCAGGCAAAGGGCCUACCUCCCAAGUACCGUUUCGCUUUAGUGCUCUCAUCUCGACGAGCAUUGCCUCCCUCCAGUCCUUGCUUUUGGAGGCUUUUUCAAAGGUUCUAGGAAUCUCUUCUUCACAUAGUGCUGUAUGGAAUGCCCUUGCCAUUUUGGACAUGUUAGCUUCAGCAAAGUUGGCCACCGAGUAUCUACUUCUCCUCCCUAUUCGUUCCGGGGAGUAUUUCUUGGGUGGAAUUCCUCUCGUACUCCGUGGAGGAAGCACGUAUUGUCCUGUGUCCUGAUCAAUAGACGGAUCUUCUUCCUCUUCUACUUCUAUACCAGGUGAGUCAGGAAUAUAAUCUGAACUUUCAUAAUUCGGACUAGAAAUUACCUCGGAUUCAGUCACGGUUGGAUCAGAGGGUCACGGCGGAAGCGUCGUCAGGACUAUGGUCUCAGCAGACGGCGCCGGCCACAGUGCAAGCUUGUUCUGUUGGAUCCGAAUCAAAGUUACUUGGCACAUACCACCGAAGGGAGUCAUUUUCUUGGGUCUCCCCCUAUCUUACACUCUCCCCCUGAGUCCCAAGGUGGUAGCAGAAUUCGGUUUCAAGGAAGUUACAGUUCAUGGUGGUAAUAACCCGUUUGGUUUUGGGGUCAUAACAUCGAUAGCCCUUCUGGUUAAUCCCAUACCCCAUAAAAACGCACUUAAUUGCACACGGGGAAAAUUUAUUUCGCUCGUGUUUGGGAAUGUGGACAUAGACAGAACACCCAAAGGUUUUAGGUGGUAAGAAUAAGGCUGAUGGAAUUUUGGUUAAGGUGGAAAGGUGAUCUAGAGGGGUUUUCCGAUUCAGUAUUUUAGUGGGAAGUCGAUUGAGAAGGUAAACUGAGGUAGCGACUGCUUCAGGCCAAAAGGUUGGAGGUACUUUUGAGUCAAAUAGGAGGGCUUGGGUCAUUUCAAGGAUGAUUCGAUUUUUCCGUUCUGCUACCCCGUUUUGCUCUGGUGUGUGUGAAUAGGAAGUUUGGUGUACUAACCCAUUUUCGUCAAAAAUUUUUGUCAUAGAACUGUUUAGAAAUUCCCCCCCAUUGUCUGAUCUUAGGAUUUUGACAGACGUCUGAAAUUGAGUUUGAACCAUUUUAUAAAACAGGACGAAUUUGUCAUAUACUUCAGAUUUAUGUUUCAUGAAAUAAACCCAAGUAGUUCUACUGCAAUCUUCAACAAAUAUCACAAAGUAUUUAAAGCAAAAAUAGUUCCUAUAGGCGAUGGGCCCCACACAUUAGAAUGAAUCAGGGAAAAAAACAGUGUCAACACGAGUAUCAUUUGGUUUAAACGAGUUUCGGUGGCUCUUGGCCAAAACACAUGCUUCACAAGAGAAGUUCUUUGGAACAAAAAGAUUAGGAAAUAUGGAUUUUAAAUAACCCGGAGAGGUAUGGCCCAUCCGACGGUGCUAGAGCCAAGUAUCUUGAUUAGUGGAUCCGUGAGCAAGCAUCGCCUCACCAUCUCGUCGAGCAACCUCAUCCACAAAGUACAGCCCACGACGCUCAGUGCCACGCCCAAUAAUCUUCCCCGUCCGGAUAUCCUGUAACAUACAGAAGUUUGGGUGCAUCAACAGGGAACAAUUUAAAUUCUUAGUCACAUGACUAAUUGACAUUAACUUCUGAGAUAAUCUAGGCACAUAGAGGCAAUUAGGAAUAUGAACAUUUGGAAAAAUUUCUAUAGUUCCCGCUCCUUCUACUGGUGUUACUCCUCCACUUGCUGUUUUUAUAUGCGACUUAGGAGUCUUAUGAAUUUCCAAAAAAUCAUUCAUGUCGUAUGACAUAGUGUCGGUCGCCCCCACAGUCAAAAAUCCACCCCGUGUCAUUAACAAUAUCACAAUCCUUGGCUUCAAAUGCAUAUGAUAGAUUUUCUAAGGGUGCAAAUGAGUUUUUGCAGAUAAUGGGGGUAGUUUUACAAUUAUCAGUCACCUGGGGGCGAUUUCUACUAUAAUUAUCAGGAUGGGGUCUGUUUCCAUAAUAUUCAGAAUCUAGGGGCUUAAUUGAAAAAGGGAUUUUACUAGGGUUAGGGAUUUCGAUCCCCAACCCUUUAUCUGUGUCCCCUCCGCCUCUAUCUAGUCGGAGCGAUGCCACCAUGGCUGCCGUCUUCACCCCACCACCUCCGUCGCCGCGCCUGCCACCGCCGGUUGGGAGACCGCCGUUGUCUGGUCCUUUCUCCUGGAACCCGGUAGUUUCUCGGUUUCCUGCGUUCUGAUUUCUUCCUCCAGUCUCGGUUCCGAUGGCAACUUUCGCCUUCCCGGUUUUGUCUUCUUCCCACCAUUCCGGGUAUCCCACCAAUUGAAAGCACGUCUCCUUUGUGUGUUUGUGCAUUCCACAGUGCGAACACCAGAGUUUGGGCUUGUCUGGUUUGCCGUUUCCCCAGCGGUUGGUGGCGGAGCGUGAUGUAGGUGGCUGACCCCUGUUCUGCGGCUGUGAUGGGCGGUAUUCUAGGGCUCCAAAUCCAAAUCCGACCCCCCCGAUGAUGUUUCGUUACCGACUGCGAUGGAGUGCGAAUCGGACUCCGAUGACAUGACUUUAAGUCGAGCUGCCUCCCGUUUCACCCAUCCAUACGCUACGUCGGCUGAGGGGUAUGGCUCCUCUUUGAGGAUCUCGCGUCGGAUCCAGUCAUAUUUCUCAUUCAGUCCGGUGAGAAAUUUAAAUAAUCGCAGUUCCGAUUUGAUUUCUCGGUAUUGCUCGACUCCUUUGUCGCAACAAUUGACUGUUUUGUGUGAACACCGAUCGAUGUCGAUCCAAAGUCCGUGUAGUCGGCUCUAGUAGGCUUCCAGCAUUGAGUCCCCUUGUAAUAUCUUGCUUGCCUUGUCUCGCAGGUCGUAUAUCAGAUACGAGUCCGAUGAACUCGCAAAUGUGACAGCGAGUGUGUCCCAUAGCGACUUCGCCGUCUGAUGAUGUGCGAAAUCCGCUAUGAGAUUGGUUUCCAUGUUGUCAAUAAUCCACGGAAAGACUAUUAAGUCUAUUUCUUCCCAAUCGGUAAAUCCGACUUCGCCCGGUUGUGGUGGUGACGGUACUCCAGAAAUAUGGCGGUAGACUCCUCGGCCGCCAAUGGACACCUUCAUUAAUCGUGCCCAUAGUGAGUAGUUUGAGCCGUUCAAUUUGAAGGCUAUGGUAACACUCUUACUCGAUCUAAUCUUUUCGGCAAUGGGUUCGAUUUGGGGUUUUUCUGGCUUGUCUUCUGCCAUUUUCAGGCUGGCUGUUUCUUCUCGCCGUUUCGGUCGAGAGAGGUAUAUUUUAGGGGGCUAUGAUGAUAGUUUUCUGAGCCUAACCUGCUCGGAUGCCAUGUAGAAUUGUAUAACUGUUAUAUUGAUUUAUUCACAAUGAGAUUAUACAUCAUAUAUAGGCUAAGGAACAUAUUACAUAUGGUAAGAUUCUACCAAUCAAAUCUCCUAAUUAAUCGCCUAAAUAUUUUCUUCAAUCUCUUCCUAAUCUUAUGCAAUCUUCUCUAUUUUGCAGGAUAUUCUCUUUGAUCUCCGACAGUGGGUUCCCGAGCUAAGGCACUACACCCGGAACAUACCAAUAGUUCUUGUGGGAACUAAAUCGGAUUUGAGAGAAGAUAAACAAUAUGUUGGUGAUCAUUCUGGUGCAGUAGCUAUUACAAGAGA
Salvia splendens (bonfire salvia) is the source of this 4930-nucleotide RNA transcript. It is a transcript of the gene named rac-like GTP-binding protein RAC13, with no coding region annotated. The transcript is spliced from 3 exons. NCBI's taxonomy places the organism in Eukaryota, Viridiplantae, Streptophyta, Magnoliopsida, Lamiales, Lamiaceae. The record is from RefSeq and is a predicted model, not a curated record.